RNAcentral lists this non-coding RNA (152 nucleotides) under uncultured Psychrobacillus sp. The record is from RNAcentral. Lineage: Bacteria; Bacillati; Bacillota; Bacilli; Caryophanales; Bacillaceae.
AAGGUACCGUUAUGGUUUAAAAGGGAAUUCGGUGAAAUACCGAAGCUGUCCCCGCAACUGUAAGUGUGGACGACUGUUGAAUAUGCCACUGCGAUUUUUCGUGGGAAGGCCAGCAGAAGGAAGAAACACGAGCCAGUAGACCUGCCUGUUUA